Non-coding RNA from Pantherophis guttatus, 6118 nucleotides. Lineage: Eukaryota; Metazoa; Chordata; Lepidosauria; Squamata; Colubridae. The record is from RefSeq and is a predicted model, not a curated record.
UUUACUAAAUUUAUUCGACAUAUGCUUAUUUGCUGUACCAUGACUGGUUACCAUUACGUCUUACAGCACUUAAGCAAUAAGCAUGCAUUUUGAAUGGAACUUCUAAUGCAUGAGGCAGUUUUUCUUUAUGAAGCGUUACUAGUUUUCCUUUUGAAGUUGAUAAGUUCAAUGUUAGAUGUUAAGUUAAGCAGGGUAAUUUCUGCUGUUCAGCAGUACCAAACAAAAUAGCAAUAGCACUUAGACUUAUAAACAGUGGUGGGCUGCAAUUUUUUUAACAACCAUUUCUCUGCCCUAAUGACUGGCUGGGUGGGCGUGGCCAACUCAAUUUCACUUACCUUGAGGGGCGCUUCGCCUCACCCGCCCUCUCAUGACCGUGGGGAUGCUGCAACGGUCGUAAGUGUGAAAAACAGUCAUAAAUCACUUUUUCCCGUUCCCUUGUAACUUUGAAUGGUCACUAAAUGAACUGUUGUAAGUCAAGGAUUGCCUGUACAAAAAUACAAAAAGCUUCUUUGCUUGCAAAAAAUACCAGUCAUUAGAUUAGAAAUGGGGGAAUACACACUGAAGAUCAAUGAGUCACAACUGUCAUGGAAACCUAAACCAUUCUGUCUGAAUAACUUCCUUUUCCUCAGCAAUACCUGCAACCCGGACUUACAAAUCAGGCAGGUUGCCAGAGCACAUUGAGGAAUUAAAAUAGUUAAAAUACAAGGAUAACUAUCAACAGCCAAGUUAUUCUUGCUCAUAAAGUGAAACCCUUUAGCAAAGAGGUCAUUUAAGCUCUCCAGAAAAUGGUUGGGCAUAUUUGGGUUACAAAAUGCCGAGCUAAAGAGACAAAUUAACAAAUUAACAUCUUGAGUGAGGGCUAAUCCCAUUUUGCCUUUGUUCAGAUUUUGCUGCAGGGAAGUUUUGCCUAUGAAUAUAGCUAUCUAUCUUUUUAUCUUUUAAGUGCUGACAUCUUCUGUGGGCUAUUAAGGAAGGUGGGAGCUGCUUUCUCCCUCUAAGAAAACAUAUUUCUCCAUUUCUCAUUCAGGGAAAUAUAUUCUUCCUUUUUCAUAUUUCUCAAAAUACUUCAUUCUUCUAGGAGAGGGGUGGGUGCUAACUGUCUACAAUUGGUGCCAUGUUACUAUGCCAUAUUAUCAUGAGAGAAAACUAAAACAAAUUGGAAGGAGGAUCCACUUAUUAUCAGUGAGCAACCAUGUGCCUUGCCCACUCCGAAGCAAUGCAAGAGACUCCUGACCCAAAGGUGCUUUUUCAAGAGGCAACUGGACUUUCUGGAAACCAAGAAAGUCCAGUUGCCUCUUGAAAAAAGCACCUUUGGGACAACCAUGACCUGGAUGACUGAAGAAUCCCCAUAGACAAGGGACUCGUGUGUUCAGUGAGCUGACAAAGCACAGUUUCCCACCCAGGAGAAGCAAUCAUUAGAUCCAUUUGCACCACUUAAAGAUACCAGCUGGUCUCACUCACCUCACAAGAUAUCCUUAGGUAAUCAUCCAGAUUUAAGGAAAGAUCAUAUGCCUCCAGAAAGGCAGUAAAAAAAAUCAGACAGAAUGCCAAGCUUGCAUCCUGCCUCUCAGCCAUUUCUUCUAUGGCUAUGCCAAACCUUCUGUAAAUAGCUGUUCCAGCUGUGUUGGAAGUAUAUUCCAAAAAGCUUAAAACAACCCUUUAACAAUCUUUAAGAAAGUCGAGCAUCAGGAAUAAAAGUACCACAAAAAACUCCUGGGGGAGUGGGGGAACUCCAGAGAAGCUCAGUCUACAGACAGAAAGUCUGGGUGUAAGGCUUACAAUGUAACAAGCUUAACCCAGAGGCAGUUUCUGAAAACACUUAAAGCAUCAGGGCAAUUGAUAAGGAUUAGGCUAGAAAUACAGGCAUACCAGAAUGUUUCCUUCGUACCUCCCUUGCAGGAUUAGCCCUGUAAAGUGGGAAAAGAUUUCUUCCAGCAACCGGUUCUCUGAACUGCUCAGAAAAUUAACAUCCGGUUCGGCAGAACCAGUGCAAACCGGUAGCAGCCCACCUCUGUUUAUAUACUGCUUCACAGUGCUUUACAGCCCUCUCUUAAGUGUUUUACAGAGUCAGCAUAUUGCCCUCAAACAAUCUGGGUCCUCGUUUUAUCGACCUUGGAAGGAUGGAAGGCUGAGUCAAUCCUGAACCGGUGAGAAUCGAACUGCCGAACUGCUAGCAGCCAGCAGUCAGCAAAAGUAGACUGCAAUACUGCAUUUUAACCACUGCACCACCACAACUCUAAUAGUUGGAUAUACAGUAAAGGAAAGUAAUUCUUUAUCAUUAAUAUUUUUUAAAAAAUGAUUAUGCUUUUUCAGUGUUAAAAUAUUGCUUGGAAUUGCUUUUUACCACAUUAUUUACUAGGCAAGUAAAGUAACUUCUCUGCCUGAAGUAUCUUAUAACACAGUCUUGUAUUGUUUAUGAAGCCCUGUUGAGCUGAAUGGGAUUUAAUAGCAGGUGAAUGGGGUAUAGGAUGAUAGUUUUAAUUAACAUAAUUAACUCAUUAAUUUUAUAUUUUAAGUAAAUCACUUUAAAGAUGAUACAGUUGACAGUUUAAGUGAAGAGGAAUUUUAGAAUUGAUUUUUUAAAAUACCCAAAGUAAUUUUCCAUAAUUUCACACAUAUUGCAUUAAAUAAUUCCAGGUGUCCUUCUGCUAUUAAUUUACAUAUCCUGAUUAUUAGAAUGUUAAUUCUGUUGUUGUUAAACUAAGAAUAUUUAUGGGAAAUUUGAUCUGCCACCUUAACCAAGAAAUAAUGUUUUACACAAAGAUGCUGGUGGAGCCAGAAACAGGCCUUCCCCGUGGCUGCCCUAGUUCUUGGUUUGUUUGUUUGUUUUUGUUUAUUGGUUUGUUUGAUUGAAAGAAUUGAUAGGUUGUCCUAUUCCAGACAACUCUAGACAACGUUUUUUGAAAACCUUGCUACUUUAUAUCCAAGAUGAUUCUACUUCCCUUUUGGUGAAAGCAUUUUGGACCACCUUCAGAGGACUACCCAGUCUCUGUAGAGCUCCAAUGAAGUGGUAGAACAAUUUCUAGCCAAGCUAUUCUAUUGAUUGACAGCUCUUUUCAUCAGGAAAUUUCUCAUAAUAUUUAAAAUGAAUCUUCUUUGUAGGUUCAACCCAGUGCUUUGCCCUCCAAAGAACAGGAAUCAGGUCCGUUCCUUCUUCUGAAAACUGAACAUACCAAUGUUAUGUCAUUUUACUUUAGAGUAGUCUCUAAAGUACUCACAGAAUUUCAUUCCCAUUAUUAUAUUGUCAUCCUCUGAACUUGCUUCAGUUUGUUGGUGUCAUUAGAUUGCAGUGCCCAAAACUGUACAUUGUACAAUAUUAAAAGUGAGAGAAUAAAGCAGCUAGCUCCCAUGGUUUUGUCUCUGUUCUUUUUGUCAUUUUAGCAAAUGUAUCAUGUUGUUGGCUCAAGUUAUGAUCUCUCAAGCUAUCCUGAUCCAUUUCACAUGUAUUACUGCUAAACUAGGUUCCCUUCCCCAAUCCCAAAUCCUACAGUAUUGGCUUUCUUUUUUCUUAUCAGAUGCAAGCUUCUACAUUUUAUCCUAUGGGUUGCAGCCUACUAUUCCAUUGCAUGUAUCUUUCUCUUUCAAAGUGUUAACCAUUCUUCCUAGUCUGGUUUCCUCUGAAAAUCUGAUAAUUCAUUUCUCAACCCCUUUAUUCAGUUACCAUGUUUCCCCGAAAAUAAGACCGUUUUAUAUUUUUUUGAACCCCAAAAUAAGUGCUUGGCCUUAUUUUUGGGGGAGGUCUUAUUAUUUUGGGGUACAUGGAGCAAGACGGGGCUCCUCUUGCUGUCUUACCUGAUUUCCACCUCUGUCUCCCUAACCCUAACCCGAGGAAAUGGCGGGGACUGGCUGUGCAUGUGCUUAAAUAUUUUUGGGGAGGGCUUAUUUUCAGGGAAGGCUUAUUUUUGGGGAUGGCUUAUUUUAGCGCAUGCACUCAACAGCCCGAUUGGGCUUAUUAUCUGGGGAGGUCUUAUUUUCGGGGAAACAGGGUAUUAAUAAAAAUAUUGACUAGCAGAAGGUCCUGAACAGAGUUCUCUGAUACUCCAUGUGAUACUAUAUUCCAGUCUGAGGUUGAACUGUUUAUAAAUAUACCGAAUGUAGCAGGCCAGUCAGUAAUGACUCCAUUAAAUUGUUAGUUAGCAUUCAAUAGUCUGUCAUGAUGUCCUCAUUAACAAAAUGGUAAAAUAUUGAGUGAAUGAAUAUGUUUAAGUAAAUAUGUUUCUUGUUGACUUUCAAAUUCUAUAACUACUUUUGUUUGCCAAAGGAUCUUAAACUCCUCCUCCUCCUCUUCACCUUUAAUUAGUACAUUAAAAAGUGUCUGUCAAUAUAAGUUUAUAUGGUAUAUAUGUGCUCUGGUUUACUUUUUGUGUUAUAUAAGUUAGGAAGCUCUUAUGCAAAGCACAUUCAGUUUCUAUGUUUCUAAAAACAUUCCUUUUUAAAUUUUAUGAAUAAAUGCUUUUAAAUUAUGGCCAUGCUCAGAAGCAAUAGCAAUAGCACUUAGAUUUAUAUACUACUUCAUACAGUAGUGGGUUUCAAUUUAGUUUGCUACCAGUUCGCUCGUGCGCAUGAUGCUUCUGCGCAUGUGCAGAAGUGUCCGGGUGGGUGGGCGGAGCCUCCCGCCGCUGCCGCUACCAGUUCGCCUGAUCCAGGGUGAACCAGUAGCAACCCAUCACUGACUUCAUAGUGCUUUACACCCCUCUCUAAGUGGUUUACAGAGUCAGUAUAUUGCUCCCAACAAUCAGGUUCCUCAUUUUACCAACCUUGGAAGGAUGGAAGGUUGAGUCAACCUUGAAUUGGUGAAGAUAAGGGGCGUGCAUAAGCGCACCAGCAUGCCUACCGUCCCUGUCCUAAUGUUCCCUUUAUUUGUAUUCAUUUCAUGUAUUCAGCUUAUGUUUAUGCUUAUAUAUAUUAUCUAAUUGGUGCUUGACAAAAUAAAUAAAAUAAAUAAAGAUCAAACUCCUGGCAGUGAGCUGAAUUAGCCUGCAAUACUGCCUAAGUUAUUGGUAAAGCAUAUGGUUAUAUAUGGGUAUACCAUGAUGCAAGGAGUUAAAUUCUUUUUCAUUUCCUAACAAUUAGGAUUUUAAAAUUGGAGAAGUAUAUGGGACUAUAGUACUGCAUGUCAUUCAACUAUUCAUUUGGAUAACCAAAAACCUCUCGAUAACUAAAAGCUCCCACAGGUCUGAUUCCAGAGCAUUAUUUGUCAAUUGGGAAGAGUUUCAAUGCCACAAUUACUAAUAAUUGGAAAUGGAACAGCAGGGAGAAAAAUAAAGUAGCUCAUUAGAGACCCAAUUUGAGACAAGGGAUAUCCUCUUGAGAGACGUAAGUGAAUGUGAAAUGUAGCACAGCUGCGGUCUUAACUUUCAGAAUGAACAUCAAGACUUGACUGGUUUUUUAUAUAUAUAUAUAUAUAAAUAUCAAAUGCUGCAGAACAAUUCAGCAGCCAAAGAGGGACAUGAACUAUACUUGAAAAAUGCAGAAGAAAAUGUGUAUUUUAUUUUCAUGAUUUCAGCAAAGCAUUAAUGUAAAAUUAAAAUUCUUUUUGGUACACACGUUGAUUCAGUGAGUUACAUUUUUCUUUCAGAAAUACGUUCCAGGAUAAAUAUUCAAUAGUGUUAAAGAAUGAGAAAACAACAAGAAAAUAACUUAAAGGAUAGUUUGAUCCGCCUCACUGGACCUGGAUGUCUAUAAAUUAUUGUCUUGGUUGAAGAAAACAUUUGCUUUUAUGACCCCAUAGAACUAUAAAGAGAUUGUCAAAAAGAGGGCUGUGAAAAUAUUUACAGACCCCUUGCAUCCUGGACAUGACCUGUUUCAACUCCUACCCUCAAAACGACGCUAUAGAGCACUGCGCACCAGAACAACUAGACACAAGAACAGUUUUUUCCCAAAUGCCAUCACUCUGCUAAACAAAUAAUUCCCUCAAUACUGUCAAACUAGUUAUUAAGUCUGCAUUACUAUUAAUCUUCUCAUCGUUCCUAUCACCCAUCUCCUCCCACUUAUGACUGUAUGACUGUAAUUUUGUUGCUGGUAUCCUUACGAUUUAUAUUGACUGUUUCCUAAUAUGAUUUGAUUGCUUAUUUGUUCCCUAUGACUACCAUUAAAUGUUGCACCUUAUGAUUCUUAA